RNAcentral lists this ribosomal RNA (465 nucleotides) under uncultured bacterium. Its description in RNAcentral is "partial 16S ribosomal RNA". It matches the Rfam family "Bacterial small subunit ribosomal RNA", at positions 338 to 795 of the family's 1533-position model. The record is from RNAcentral.
CCUACGUGCGGCAGCAGUGGGGAAUAUUGCGCAAUGGGCGAAAGCCUGACGCAGCGACGCCGCGUGAGGGAUGAAGGUCUUCGGAUCGUAAACCUCUGUCAGCAGGGAAGAACGGUCACUGUGCUAAUCAGCAGUGAAUUGACGGUACCUGCAAAGGAAGCACCGGCUAACUCCGUGCCAGCAGCCGCGGUAAUACGGAGGGUGCGAGCGUUAAUCGGAAUUACUGGGCGUAAGGCGCUCGUAGGCGGUAUGUCAAGUCAAGGGUGAAAUCCCCGCGCUCAACGUGGGAACUGCCUUUGAAACUGGCAAACUGGAGUGUGUGAGAGGAUAGUGGAAUUCCAGGUGUAGGAGUGAAAUCCGUAGAUAUCUGGAGGAACAUCAGUGGCGAAGGCGACUAUCUGGCACAUAACUGACGCUGAGGAGCGAAAGCGUGGGUAGCAAACAGGAUUAGAUACCCCAGUAGUC